UGCUGUCACAGGCCUCAGGAAUCCCAAAGGAGAACUAGCAGGUGUUCUGAUGAGGAACGUCCUUCAACCAGCCGAGCCUGUGUUGUGAAUGGCCCGGAUGAAGUAGCCAAAACAAAGCCACGUCACGCCAUGAAACGGAAGCGGACAGCAGAUAAAUCCACCAGUACAAGUGAUCCUGUGAUCGAGGAUGACCAUGUGCAGGUUCUUGUAUUAAAAUCCAAGAAUCUUGUUGGAGUCACUAUGACCAAUUGUGGAAUCACAGAUCUAGUGCUAAAAGACUGUCCGAAGAUGAUGUUCAUCCAUGCUACCAGGUGCAGGGUACUAAAACAUUUAAAAGUAGAAAAUGCACCAAUUGUAAACCGAUUUGACUAUGCACAGUGCAAGAAACUGAACAUGGAUCAGGUACUAGACCAGAUACUAAGAAUGCCACCCGAGAGAAACCGCAUCAUAUACCUACGCCCAAUGCAGCAGGUGGACACUCUAACUUUGGAGCAGAAGCUAUUUAGUGGUCCCUACCCCUAUCACAUCUGUAUUAUCCAUGAAUUCAGUAACCCUCCCAAUGUCCGGAAUAAGGUGCGCAUUCGCAGCUGGAUGGACACUAUAGCAAACAUCAAUCAAGAGCUCAUUAAAUAUGAAUUCUUCCCUGAAGCCACUCGAAGUGAAGAAGACUUAAAGAAAUACCCCAAGUACCCCUGGGGGAGAGAAAUCUAUACUUUAGAAGGUGUUGUGGAUGGAGCUCCAUAUUCCAUGAUUUCUGACUUCCCUUGGCUGAGGUCAUUACGAGCUGCAGAGCCCAACAGCUUCGCUCGAUACGACUUUGAAGACGAUGAAGAAAGUAAUUAU
RNAcentral lists this small RNA (843 nucleotides) under Pongo abelii (Sumatran orangutan). RNAcentral describes it as "processed transcript". Lineage: Eukaryota; Metazoa; Chordata; Mammalia; Primates; Hominidae. The record is from RNAcentral.